CCUACGGGCGGCUGCAGUGAGGAAUAUUGGUCAAUGGUCGAGAGACUGAACCAGCCAAGCCGCGUGAGGGAUGAAGGUACAGAGUAUCGUAAACCUCUUUUGUCAGGGAACAAAGGCGGGGACGUGUCCCCGGACGAGUGUACCUGAAGAAAAAGCAUCGGCUAACUCCGUGCCAGCAGCCGCGGUAAUACGGAGGAUGCGAGCGUUAUCCGGAUUUAUUGGGUUUAAAGGGUGCGCAGGCGGAAUGUAAAGUCAGCGGUCAAAGCCCGGGGCUCAACCCCGCCCCGCCGUUGAAACUGGGUGUCUCGAGUUGGAGAGAAGUACGCGGAAUGCGCGGUGUAGCGGUGAAAUGCAUAGAUAUCGCGCAGAACUCCGAUGGCGAAGGCAGCAGGCCGGCUCCACACUGACGCUGAGGCACGAAAGCGUGGGUAUCGAACAGGAUUAGAUACCCUAGUAGUC
Molecule: ribosomal RNA, 459 nt
Filed under: uncultured bacterium
Lineage: Bacteria
Description: partial 16S ribosomal RNA
Rfam family: Bacterial small subunit ribosomal RNA
Source: RNAcentral